GGACAUGAAGGAGACCUGAUGGCUAUGUCUGUCACCCCAGUGACCCCAGGGUUGAUUCGGCUGAUCUGCCUGGCUAGGCAGGUAUCCCCUUCCUACAUCACCGCUCCAUGUGAAGUCUUUCUGAAGCUGUGAGGUAGGUCGAAGAGGGAGGCCUUCCCCAACAGAGUCAUACCAUUCUUCAGUCAAGGGUAUACAAGUAGCUAUACUCCCCUGCUAGAACAAGGUCUCAGUUGCAACAGGAAAGAACAAGUAAGAAAAGAGGACAAGCUUAAGGUUAAGGUGAAUUCUGGGAAUUC
This 296-nucleotide small nuclear RNA is filed under the name Phascolarctos cinereus (koala). Its description in RNAcentral is "7SK RNA (ENSPCIG00000011619.2)". It matches the Rfam family "7SK RNA". From Rfam's summary of the family: 7SK was discovered as an abundant small nuclear RNA in the mid-70s but a possible function has only recently been suggested. Two independent studies have found that 7SK RNA binds the CDK9/cyclin T complex (known as elongation factor P-TEFb). Lineage: Eukaryota; Metazoa; Chordata; Mammalia; Diprotodontia; Phascolarctidae. The record is from RNAcentral.